Long non-coding RNA from Pogoniulus pusillus (Red-fronted tinkerbird), 1564 nucleotides. RefSeq lists it as uncharacterized. The transcript has 3 exons. The record is from RefSeq and is a predicted model, not a curated record. Lineage: Eukaryota; Metazoa; Chordata; Aves; Piciformes; Lybiidae.
AGGGGUAACAAAGAAGGUUUUAAGAAAUUGAUUAACAACAAAAAGAAAGCCAAGGAAAAUGUCCACCCUUUAUUAGGUGCAGGAGGGAAUGCUGCUAUCAAUGAUGAGGAAAAUGCUGAGGUGCUUAAAGUCUUCUUUGCCUCAGUUUUUAAUAAUCAGACAAAUUAUCCUCAGAGUGUUCAGCUCUCCCUAGACGGGGAGGAGCAUCAACAGGUGAAAGCAGUUAAUGGCAUAUUGUGCCCCCCUGGCCACUCACAAGCCAAUUGGCUAAAUGGGUUCCACCUGAGAGUGCUGAGCCAGCUCGCAGAGGAGCUUGCUGAGGAUCUUACUCAGCUGUUGCCCAUCAUCAAUCAGCAGUCCUGGCUAACAGGGGAAGUGCCAGACGACUGGAAGCAAAAGGGCUGAAAGGAGGGUCUGGAGAGUUGCAAGUCUGUCAGCUCGACUAGAGAAGAUUCUGGAGUGUUUCUCCUUGGAUGCACUCACAAGGUGAUGAAGGCAGUGGGAGAGAAGGAACUUGCAUCACAUGGAGCACCCUCAACAUUAAAAAUAGGAGAACCCAAGAGAGGAUUUGUAGCAGAAGGUGACCUCCAGGAACGGCAGGUGUUGCGGGGCAGAAAAAAAGAGAAUUGUUAAGAGAAUAUCAACAGAGGCUUCAGAUAAGUAGUACAAUCACAGGAAGAUGUGGUGGAGCACUUUUCAGAGAUCCUGGGCAACUGUUUGAAAUAAUGACCUAAUCAGUGGUAAUGCCUUGAUAUUUAAGGUAAUUUUAGUAACCCAAGUGCACUUCACUUUGUCCAAAAGUAGCUCACACCAUAAUUUUGCUGUAAAAGAUCCUUAUUGAAAUAUCACAUUUCUUUCUGAUCUAUUAAUGUAUUAUUACCCUUUUUUGAGGCUCUUUUUUCCCCUUUAUGUAAGGACUUGCUUUCAAAUGCCACGAGCAGGGAGCAUUUAGGAAAGUGGUGCUCAUACUGGCAGCAGUAAUCUUUUACUGCUACUAGAUCUAUUGAGUAAAUGUCUUUGUGUGAUUAAGAAGGACAGAUUUUUAUCUUGAAAGGGGAAAGAUGGAAGAGCCAGAGAAAAAUUUAAGCCUUCUAAUCCCUAAGAUGCACUGAUAAAGGCACAAAUUACACCUGACAAAAUACUGGGGAAUAAUAGGCAACAAUUCCUGCUAACAAGGGAACAAUGUGAAAUGCACUAUAUUUGUCAAGGACAUUAAAUAUGUCCAGGACAAGUUGUAGCUAGAGACUUGACCUUUGCCAAUCUGGUCUGAGGAAUGGAUAUGUGUUCAAGAGCUGGAGCAUGGGGACUGUUCCCUGACCAGCAGAUGAGACAGAUUGCCUUGUUUCUACAGAACUGUGCACAUCUUUCUUUUCCUUUGCUGCUCCUUCCAUCUGAUGCUUGUGCCCAUUGCCCCUUGUCCUGUCACUGGGCACCAGUGAGAAGAGUCUGUCCCCAUGCUUUUGUACCCUAUCCUUUAGCUAUGAACGAGGAUUCUGGCUGGGAUUCUGUUAUGUCUUCUGGACACAUUUCCUUUCAAAGGCUUCAUUUCCGUGAGCUAUCAUUU